Molecule: unclassified non-coding RNA, 1704 nt
Organism: Vigna unguiculata (cowpea)
Lineage: Eukaryota; Viridiplantae; Streptophyta; Magnoliopsida; Fabales; Fabaceae
Source: RefSeq, a predicted model, not a curated record
GCCAGAUUUAGGCUCUGGUCCGAAAGGGCGUGGGUUCAAAUCCCACAGCUGUCAAUUUCUGAUUAUUUUUUUGUUUUCUAAACUGAUCCAAAAGGAAAUCGAAAAUCAAUGGUUACCACACACAAAACAUCAACUUAUUUUAACGUUGCUGGUUAACUGUGUUCCAAACUGGUCUCGGUCUAAUUCUUGAAUUUCAUAUUUUUCACUCACCCUUCAUCAAUGGCACUCUCAGUUUGCAGUGUUGGCCCUUGGAAUCUUAACCCCAAAGCAUUAUCAACACCAUCUUUUUCCUUCAAGUCUCUCAAAUUCCCUCCCUUUUGGCCAACCCAAAAGGUGAAGAUGGGUCCUCUGAGUGUGUCUCCGAUGGGGUUUGGAACGUGGGCAUGGGGCAAUCAGUUUCUCUGGGGAUACCAGGAAUCCAUGGAUGAUGAGCUCCAACAAAUCUUCAACAUGGCUCUGGACUACGACAUCAAUCUCUUUGACACUGCUGAUUCUUAUGGCACUGGAAGGUUAAACGGUCAGAGUGAGAAGCUUCUGGGGAGGUUCAUUCGAGAGUUUCAAGAGAAAAAAGGGAGCAAACGUGACAUAGUGAUUGCUACUAAGUUUGCUGCAUAUCCAUGGCGCCUUACACCAGGGCAGUUUGUGAAUGCUUGCAGGGCGUCACUAGAUAGAAUGCAAAUUGAGCAAAUUGGGAUAGGACAACUACACUGGUCAACUGCAAAUUAUGCUCCUUUGCAGGAAUUAGCUCUUUGGGAUGGUUUAGUGGCAAUGUAUGAGAAGGGUUUGGUUAAAGGUGUUGGAGUAAGUAAUUACGGACCAAAGCAGCUUCUAAAGAUACAUGAUUAUCUGAAAGACCGUGGAGUCCCCUUAUGCUCAGCCCAGGUGCAGUUUUCUUUGCUCAGCACGGGGAAAGAUCAACUAGAGAUCAAGAGUAUAUGUGACUCUCUGGGUAUCCGAAUGAUUGCUUAUAGUCCUCUGGGACUUGGAAUGCUUACUGGGAAAUACUCACCAUCUAAACUUCCAAAUGGUCCAAGGGCGUUGCUAUUUAAACAAAUACUUCCGGGACUAGAUCCUUUAUUGAGUUCCCUCAGAGAUAUUGCAAAUGAACGGCGGAAAACCAUGUCACAAGUGCGUGGAAAAUGACAAUGCUGACCGACUACUUGACCAGCCUUGCCCGAACAGCACACUUUAUCACCAUCUCAUUCUUUCAUUUAUCAUGUCAGGUAGCCAUAAAUUGGUGCAUUUGCAAAGGUACAGUUCCAAUUCCUGGAGUUAAGUCAAUUAAACAAGCGGAGGAAAAUUUAGGUGCUCUCGGUUGGCGCCUAUCCUCAGACGAGUUGCUUCGGUUGGAUUAUGCAGCAAACGAAUCACCUCGAAGAAUGAUUCAAAACAUUUUCCAAACCAGAUAAAAUAUGAAGCGAGACCUCAGCACAAGGUGCGACAGAGAAAAGGCUUAUUUUCACUCACUGAAGGUCACAUUUCUUUAUCAUCCUGGUAUCAAGAAAGGCGAAUAGCGGCCAAUGGAUCCGUUUCAUUUUUAAGAGAAUUGCAAACUGAUUAACCUGAUUCAGGAUGCCAUGAUAUUACAUUUAGGUUCUUGUGAUAGGCCAUUGAAAUAAAGAAGAAGCCGCGAUGCCACAUCUACUUUUGGACGGUAUAAAGCAUUGCUUUUGUACUUAAUUUGUUAAAAAUCAUACUGACUUA